AUUAUGGCUCAGGAUGAACGCUAGCUACAGGCUUAACACAUGCAAGUCAGGGGCAGCAUGUGGUGCUUGCAACCAAUGAUGGCGACCGGCGCACGGGUGAGUAACGCGUAUCCAACCUCCCCUUAGUAGAGGAUAGCCCGGCGAAAGUCGGAUUAAUACUCUAUGUUCUUCAAUGCGGACAUCUAAGUUGAAGCAAAGAUUUAUCGCUAAGGGAUGGGGAUGCGUCUGAUUAGGUUGCAGGCGGGGUAACGGCCCACCUGGCCUACGAUCAGUAGGGGUUCUGAGAGGAAGGUCCCCCACACUGGUACUGAGACACGGACCAGACUCCUACGGGAGGCAGCAGUGAGGAAUAUUGGUCAAUGGGCGUGAGCCUGAACCAGCCAAGUAGCGUGCAAGGACGACUGCCCUAUGGGUUGUAAACUGCUUUUAUCAGGGAAUAAAGUGAGGCACGCGUGCCUUUUUGUAUGUACCUGAUGAAUAAGGACCGGCUAAUUCCGUGCCAGCCGCUGC
This 510-nucleotide ribosomal RNA is filed under the name uncultured bacterium. RNAcentral's name for it is "bacterial SSU rRNA". It matches the Rfam family "Bacterial small subunit ribosomal RNA", at positions 16 to 518 of the family's 1533-position model. The record is from RNAcentral.